This is a non-coding RNA of Pantherophis guttatus, 768 nucleotides long. NCBI's taxonomy places the organism in Eukaryota, Metazoa, Chordata, Lepidosauria, Squamata, Colubridae. The record is from RefSeq and is a predicted model, not a curated record.
ACAAAAUUUGGUCAAGGAGUCCCCAAGGAGAAAUUAUAGCUGCUUGCCUUUUCAAAUCCUGCAACUGAGUCUGCUGACCUAAAUAAAAGUGCUUAUCUUACCAUAGUGAAAUGCCACUAAAAGGGUUACUAAAAAGAGGAAGUCAAACAUAACAAUAUUGCAAAAAGCUAAUAAAAGGGUCACGCCUUUUCAGAGACUUUUAAAGCUGAGCUAGAUUUUUUUUCCACUCUACUUUUUCAGAAAUUGAUAUCAACUUUCAGAACCUACGUAGUUCAUACCAGGUAUUAUUGUUUUCUCAUCAUGAUGAUAGAAGUGAAAGCUAUUCUAUUCGCUGAAUAUCCCAAAGAAUCACCAUCAUAAAUUGAUCCAGAAAAAUAUACAUUUCUAUACUGAAACUAAAAAUCAUUUACCCAAUUUGCUCGUUGACUGAUAAGACGAAGAAAGAGGAAGCUUGGUAAUUGAAAGAGGAGGCUUGUGAAUUGUCAGUUGGAAGAUUCAGAGGCAUACAAAAAUUGAAUGAACUUUAACUCUGGUAUUCUUCCUUCUACCCCUAUGAAAUAUGUAAUGAAGCAGAUUCAAAGGAGACAGCUAAAGAAGGAGUAACAUCAAGAAGAUGGAAUAGCAAAGCCAGCAAGUUCAGGAGUUGGCAGUACUAUAGAGUUCUGUUGGAGAUUGGCUUCAGCAGGUGUCCAAAAUAACAAUUCAAAGCAUUGACCCUGAUUAGCAUCCAAGAUUUCUUCCAAAACAUUGUUUACAUUCUUUUCUAGA